UAGUAAGCAUUAUCUCUAUUCAAACAUUAUGCUUUGGUUUAAAAAAACCAUGGAUCUUAUCUGCUAAGGAAUCAAGUGAAUCAAGCACAUUCUCUCCAAGACAUGAAGAAUCAUAACAUUUUCCUUUCUUAAUUUCAAACCAAAAGGGACGUUAUUCCUUCCAAACAAAGAACCAAAAGACCUUUUCUAUUGAAAUUGAAAACGUUAUUUCGUUCCAAGAUCUUUAGGAACAAGAAACAAAUUUCGUCCGUGAAUUUCUAAGGAGCGGGGGCAAAAUUUAGUUCAACCAACAAAGAUUUUCCAACAAAAUAUUAUACGGGGUUUUUCCUACUCCAGGUAUGUUAAGGUUAAGCUCUUCUUUCUUUUGGCAUGGUCCAAAUUAUACUGAAAAACGAGCAAAUACACAAUUUUUAUAAAUUAUUAUAUUCAUAGAAAUUGUAAAGGUGUCUAUAUUCUUGAUUCAUCAUGAGAAAUAUUAUUACCUUCUGUUCAUGGGUCUUAGAAUAAUACGCAGUUGGAAAAAUUUAUCCGGAAGGAAUAUUGAGAUUAUUACAUAUUUCUCAUGCAUUUCAUACAUGUGCAUUGACCCAUGACUAGAUGGUGUUAUAUAGGCGUAUAUAUGUAAAUAUAUGUAUAUGGGAUAUGGGAAAAGGUUACGGCGUUAUAUACACACCACUACCUGAUUAGCUGGUAUAUGAUGAUGAUGUUGCCCACAGUGGAAGAAAUAUGAUUUAAACGAUGUUAUAUACGCGUAUACAUGUAUGUAUAUAUAUAUAUAUAUGAUAUGGAAAUGUUAUGGCGUUAUAUACGCACCACCACCUGAUCAGCUGGUAUACGAUGAUAAUUUUGCCCACAGUGGCCGAUAUGAUAUGAUGGGAUGCCCAUAGAGGCUGAUGGUGUUAUGAAACAUGUACCUAUGCACGACAUGACAUUAAUAUGCAUAUGGAUGAUGCUAAAAAUAAUUUAUGAUUUACAAAGUUAUUCAGACAUACAGGUUGAGUCAUGUACUGUAUAUGUCUUCCAUGUCUCUUAUGUAUUUAUUUAUGUGCCUUACAUACUCGGUACAUUAUUCGUACUAACAUCCCUUUUGCCUGGCGACGCUGCAUUUUAUGCCUGCAGGUCCCGAUAGACAGGUCGAGAGCCCUCCAAGUAUGCUAUCAGCUCAGUGGAAGAUGUUGGUGCGCUCCAUUUGCUUUGGAGUUGCAUGUUUGGUUAGUAUGAUAUAGACGUGUAUUUUUUUGGUUUCGCGGGACUCUGUCCCGACCUUUAUGACAUUUAUGUACUCUUAGAUGCUUGUAGACAUAUGUCGUGUACGUGAAAGAUUGUACGGACUUGUCGUCCUAUGUUUUGAGUUUAUAAAUGAUUAUGUUGGCCUAUUAGUCCCGUAUGACACCUGUAUAUGAUGAUGUAAUAAGAAAGAUACGCUACGUUGGUACUCGGUUGAGUAAGGUACCGGGUGCCCGUCGCGGCCCAUCGGUUUGGGUCGUAACAGUAGAUGGGUUCCGGGUUUAGGUAAGUGUAUAUAGGGUCUGGGUUGGGCAAUUGGGCGGGGGUUGGGUUAAAUUUAGGCUACAAUCGAAAUGUAAAUCUAGCUAUAAUUUAAAUAGCCAAUUUUUUCUAUUUAAUAUAUAAUAAGUAAUAAACAAUUUCUGAAAAAUAAUUUAUGUAUCAAAAUGAUUUAAAAUAUAUAUAUUUAUCAUUAUAAAAAUAUAGGGACCAAUAUUACGCAUAUAAAAUGUAAUUAUCUAUUAAAUGGGCUAACAUUGCAAUUAUAUGCAAUUUUGCUUAAAAAUACCAAAUGCAAUUAUAAAAUGCAUAAAAAAUAUAUUAACCAUAUUUUGGCAUAUUUAUAGAGAUUAAAUGAAUAAAUCAUCAUAACAAUAAUUUGAGAAAUAAAUAUUGGGGAUUUUAUGAAUAAAAGGGAAGGAAAUAAAUCAAUUUAAAUCAUUAAAAUUAUGGAAAAAACUAUAAAAACCUUGUGCAUGCGUAUAUAUGCAUAUAUAUGCUAUUUCAAAGGUAUUUAUGCAUAUAAAAACAUAUAGGGAAAAAUUGGGUAUCAACAGCGUGUUCGGAGUGUGUUUUGGAGGUCCGUAGCUAAUUUAGGCUUGAAAUGCCGAAAGUCAAAUUUUGAAGUUUCUGGUUCGAUAGUGAGAUUUUGAUCCGAGGGUCGGAAAGGAAUUCCGGAAGUUGGAGUAGGUCUGUAGUAUUGAAUAAGACGCGUGUGCAAAAUUUCAGGUCAUUCAGACGAGGUUUGAUAGACUUUUUGAUCGAAAGCGUAUUUUUAGAGUUUUGGAGUUCUUAGGCUUGAAUCCGCGGUUGAUUCGUCGUUUCGAUGUUGUUUUAGGUAUUUUAAGGAUUGCUAUAAGUUUGGACAGUGGUAUUAGACUUGUUGGUGCCUUUGGUCGAAGUCCCGGGGGCCUCGGAAUGGUUUCGGAAGUUUGUCGAAAUAAUUUGGAAUUUGUUUGAGCAGCUUCAGUUGCUGGUCUUCUGUCAUAACCGCACCUGCGGUUGGGUCCCGCAGGUGCGUAGCCCUAGAAGCGGGCAAUUUACCGUAGAAUUGGUACCACAUCUGCGUAUGGGGAGUCAUAAGUGCGGAAGGUUAAGUUUAAGUGAAAUGUCGCAGAAGCGACCAUGUCCUUGCAGAAGCGGGACCACAGGUGCGAUCCCAUGACCACAGAAGCUGAUUAGCUGGGCCAAAACAUAUAAAUUCUUGCCUUCACGAAUUUGAGCUAUUUUCACCUCUUUCCAAACGGGAAGAAGCCUUGGAGAACAUUUUCAGGAGAUAUUUUCAGAGGAAUUUGUUGGGGUAAGGUCUUUGGUCCCUAAACUAGUUAUUGGGGUAAUUUUUACCAUUAUAAACAUGAAAAUUUAAGGAAAAUCAGUGGUAAUUUGGGGGUUAGGGCUUGACUAAUUAUAGACCUUUGAGUGAAGAUUUGAGGGACUAUUUGAGGUCCGAUUUUGGUAUUUUUGGUAUGACUGAACUCGUGAGAGUGUGAAGAUUCUGGAAAUGAAAAUUUUACCUGAUUCCCAGACGUGCGCCCGUGGGACGUUUUGGUUAUUUUACCUAAUUUCAAGUAUUAGCUUAGAAUUUCUUUAUAGAAUCAGUUACUUGAAGUGUUAUUUACAUUAUGAAUUUGAAUUGAAUAGACUUGGGCCAUUUGGAGUCGAGUACUCGUGGCAAGAGCGUGGUUUCAGAUUGAUUUGAGCUGGUUCGAGCUAAGUGGCUUACCUAACCUUGUGUGGGGGACCUUCCCCUUAGGAUUUGGUAUAUUUUGUAAUUGUAAUGGCUUGUACGUUAGGUGACGAGUGUGUACUUGAGCUAAUUGUUGAAAAUCCGAUUUUCUUUAAGUAAUUUCAAUGGUGUUCCUUUUUCCUGCUUUAUACUACUUGCAAUUUAAGCCUUAAUUGUUAGCUUAGAAAAAGCAUGUUUAUUUAACUUAAUUACUUAUUCGCUUAAAAUGCCGUAAUUGUAUUAUGUGAAGCAUGUUAGGUUAGAAUUACCAGUUUACUUGGUACGAAAUUGAGAUUAAUUGAGUAUUCUUUGUGUUGCUGCUUUGUGUUAUCAUUUUGGGACUACAGGACGGCAUCCCAGGAGAUCCCCUACAUGUAUUUAUGAUUGAGAUGAGGUGCGGGAUACCGAGAGAUCCCUAGCAUAUAUAUUGAGGAUACCAAGAGAUCCUCGGGAUACCGAGAGAUGCCUAGCACGUAUAUAGAGGAUACCAAGAGAUCCUCGGGAUACCAAGAGAUCCCUGACAUAUAUUGAGGAUACUGAGAGAUCCUCGGGAUACCAAGAGAUCCCUAGCAUAUAUUGAGGGUACUAAUAGAUCCUCGGGAUACUGAGAGAUCCCCGAUUAUUAUCCUUGUGAAGAAUGGUAUCUCCUUGUGAUUGUUUUUGCCUCUGUUUCAAUUAUUGAGUUCCUUAUAUUCCUGUAUUAAAUUCUUAUUGUUAGCUUUCAAUUGUACUAUUUAGCUUACUCUGUCAUACCUUAUAUGUUUAUUUAUCUCAGUAGGGUCCUUACCUUCCCCGUCACUACCCGAUCGAGUUUAGGCUUAACACUUACUAAGUACCGCUGUGGUGUACUCAUGCCUUUUCUGCGCAUGUUUUUUAUGUGCAGAUUCAAGAACUUCGACUUAGUCCUAUCACACUUGAGGCGAGGCAACUGCUCCAGAGACGUCGAGGUAUAUCUGCCGUGUCCACAGACCGAGGAGUCCCUUUCCAUUCUAUCUUGUUGUGAUAGCCCUUCUAUCUUUUCUGUUGAUGUAGACAUUCCGGAGUUAGAGCAUUUUUAUUAUAUUUGUAGCUUGUGAUUCAUGGGUUUCUGGGUUUUGGGAAAAUGUAUUAGUUUUUGAGAGUUAAUAUUGUGUAUACCGAGCGGCACUUUUAAACACUGUUUUAUUACACUAUUUCUGUUUUAAAUUAUUUUUCUUCCGCAAAUUGGUUUAUCUUUCGCAUUUUUGGCUUACAUAGUCGUAGAAACUAGGUGUCAUCAUGAUGGUUUACGGAAGGCGAACCGGGGUCGUGACAAUUUGUGCAUCUUUGACCAAGUCCAACUUCUCUCCACCGUGAAGAAAUUGCCCUAUGAAGAAACUG
RNAcentral lists this long non-coding RNA (4591 nucleotides) under Nicotiana tabacum (common tobacco). Its description in RNAcentral is "long non-coding RNA (NTAB_LNC010986)". Lineage: Eukaryota; Viridiplantae; Streptophyta; Magnoliopsida; Solanales; Solanaceae. The record is from RNAcentral.